GAGUUUGAUCAUGGCUCAGAUUGAACGCUGGCGGCAUGCCUUACACAUGCAAGUCGAACGGCAACAUGAUCUAGCUUGCUAGAUUGAUGGCGAGUGGCGAACGGGUGAGUAAUACAUCGGAACGUGCCCUGUAGUGGGGGAUAACUAGUCGAAAGAUUAGCUAAUACCGCAUACGACCUGAGGGUGAAAGUGGGGGACCGCAAGGCCUCAUGCUAUAGGAGCGGCCGAUGUCUGAUUAGCUAGUUGGUGGGGUAAAGGCCCACCAAGGCGACGAUCAGUAGCUGGUCUGAGAGGACGAUCAGCCACACUGGGACUGAGACACGGCCCAGACUCCUACGGGAGGCAGCAGUGGGGAAUUUUGGACAAUGGGCGAAAGCCUGAUCCAGCAAUGCCGCGUGUGUGAAGAAGGCCUCGGUGUAAGU
This 422-nucleotide ribosomal RNA is filed under the name uncultured microorganism. RNAcentral describes it as "bacterial SSU rRNA". It matches the Rfam family "Bacterial small subunit ribosomal RNA", at positions 9 to 430 of the family's 1533-position model. The record is from RNAcentral.